This 550-nucleotide ribosomal RNA is filed under the name uncultured Glomus. RNAcentral's name for it is "SSU rRNA". It matches the Rfam family "Eukaryotic small subunit ribosomal RNA", at positions 548 to 1098 of the family's 1831-position model. The record is from RNAcentral. Lineage: Eukaryota; Fungi; Glomeromycota; Glomeromycetes; Glomerales; Glomeraceae.
UUGGAGGGCAAGUCUGGUGCCAGCAGCCGCGGUAAUUCCAGCUCCAAUAGCGUAUAUUAAAGUCGUUGCAGUUAAAAAGCUCGUAGUUGAAUUUCGGGAUCAAUAUAUCGGUCGUGCCAUUGGUACGUACUGGUAUCAUUGGUUUCUCCUUUCUGACGAACCAUGAUGUCAUUAAUUUGGUGUUAUGGGAAGUUAGGACUGUUACUUUGAAAAAAUUAGAGUGUUUAAAGCAGGCUUUAGCUUGAAUACAUUAGCAUGGAAUUAAUGAAAUAGGACGUUCGAACCUAUUUUGUUGGUUUCUAGGAUCAACGUAAUGAUUAAUAGGGAUAGUUGGGGGCAUUAGUAUUCAAUUGUCAGAGGUGAAAUUCUUGGAUUUAUUGAAGACUAACUACUGCGAAAGCAUUUGCCAAGGAUGUUUUCAUUAAUCAAGAACGAAAGUUAGGGGAUCGAAGACGAUCAGAUACCGUCGUAGUCUUAACCAUAAACUAUGCCGACUAGGGAUCGGAUGAUGUUAAUUUUUUAAUGACUCAUUCGGCGCCUUACGGGAAAC